GGUGUGAAGGAGGUUCUAUGUUCGAAUCCUGGCAUGGGCAUUAUUAUUGCUCGUGUGUCCAGGAGAGUUUGAGAUGGACUAAAAAUCUGAGUAGUGGGUUUAGUGGGGAGUUUGAUGGAGAGAAAUAAGGGAUUGGGGUGGUUAUCAAAUAUUCUGUUCAUCUUUUUUUCUUUUUUUUACUUUCCCCAAAAUCCCUCUAUCCUCUUUUCAUUUUUAUCUUCAUUGCUGUUGAAUUUCUGAUCUCUUUCACCCUUCAUCUUCUUGAUUUUUCUUUUCCCACUUUGCCUCGUGUCGCUCCACGUUUGUCUGGGAUCGUUUGGUAAGUUUUAGAUAAGUGAUUUGUCUCAGUUUGUUAACUUUCUUCUAAAGUUUUUUGUUUAUGUCAAUUAGGGGAGGAUUCAAGGGCUCGUAAUCACCAAUCGGAGUCUUAGUUUGUGUGGGAAUUACUAUUCAUCGGUUGAAGGUAAGGUUUAGUUGCUUAUGGGUUAAAACCUCGAUA
This 499-nucleotide long non-coding RNA is filed under the name Gossypium raimondii (Peruvian cotton). RNAcentral's name for it is "long non-coding RNA (GRAI_LNC008266)". Lineage: Eukaryota; Viridiplantae; Streptophyta; Magnoliopsida; Malvales; Malvaceae. The record is from RNAcentral.